Molecule: long non-coding RNA, 130 nt
Organism: Lingula anatina
Lineage: Eukaryota; Metazoa; Brachiopoda; Lingulata; Lingulida; Lingulidae
Source: RefSeq, a predicted model, not a curated record
AUCUGCAUCUGGUAUUGGUAGUAAGGAGAAGUCUUAAAUGGGUGACCUUUUCCAUACAGCGUGAUGGCUUUUUUGGUGAACUGAUUCUUCCUGUCUGGUCAGGGCUAAUUACUAUAGAAAAAGCAAACAG